AAAAACAUAUACGCUGUAAGUGCGCUCACUUCCACUGCUCGCUGCCAUCUUCCAUUCCUGGCUUCUUCAGUUCACCUCCUAUACGCACACAUUCCCUGGUUUCGCUUUAGUCAGUCUUCAAAUUGUGAAACCCAAGAAAUAAGGAGAAAGAGAAAUGGUGGUAUCCAAGUCCAGGUAUGAGGAAAUCCGCCAAAAGAGGCUGGAAGAAAACAAG
This 214-nucleotide unclassified non-coding RNA is filed under the name Hevea brasiliensis (rubber tree). Lineage: Eukaryota; Viridiplantae; Streptophyta; Magnoliopsida; Malpighiales; Euphorbiaceae. The record is from RNAcentral.